GGAGGUCACACCCGUUCCCAUACCGAACACGGAAGUUAAGCUCUCUAGCGCCGAUGGUAGUUGGGACCUUGUCCCUGUGAGAGUAGGACGUCGCCAAGC
RNAcentral lists this ribosomal RNA (99 nucleotides) under Bacillus cereus. Lineage: Bacteria; Bacillati; Bacillota; Bacilli; Caryophanales; Bacillaceae. The record is from RNAcentral.